UACGUAGGGGGCAAGCGUUGUCCGGAAUCAUUGGGCGUAAAGAGCGCGUAGGCGGCCCUGUAAGUCCGCUGUGAAAGUCAAGGGCUCAACCCUCGAAUGCCGGCGGAUACUGUCGGGCUAGAGUCCGGAAGAGGCGAGUGGAAUUCCUGGUGUAGCGGUGAAAUGCGCAGAUAUCAGGAGGAACACCUACGGCGAAGGCAGCUCGCUGGGACGGUACUGACGCUGAGACGCGAAAGCGUGGGGAGCAAACAGG
Molecule: ribosomal RNA, 253 nt
Filed under: uncultured bacterium
Lineage: Bacteria
Description: partial 16S ribosomal RNA
Rfam family: Bacterial small subunit ribosomal RNA
Source: RNAcentral